RNAcentral lists this long non-coding RNA (2371 nucleotides) under Nicotiana benthamiana. Its description in RNAcentral is "long non-coding RNA (NBEN_LNC020307)". Lineage: Eukaryota; Viridiplantae; Streptophyta; Magnoliopsida; Solanales; Solanaceae. The record is from RNAcentral.
UUCGUUUAAUACUAUGUACGAACUUGUUGUACACUAUUUCCAGAUUGUUCCUAACAAACGUUAACCACUUGCGUGACUCACUUUUUCAUAACAGACUAUUGAAUAACAGGUUGAUACAUGAAACCGGUUGAACUUAUUUUAGAACUAUUGGGAUAAAUCUGAAAGCUACAAUCUAUAUAGUCCAUUAUACAUUCAAUCACUUAAACAAAUAGUCCUAAUUAUAGUUUAAACCAUUACUAUCAACUAUAAGGCGAAUACAAUACGUGAUGAAUUUCCCGUGAAGCCGGGCUUCCAUUUUUCAUUUUUAGUUCUGCAACUUUACGUAAAUACUGAUGUUCAAAAAUAUGUUCCUCGAUUGGAAAGCAGAACAGAAGAAGAAAGAUCAGUCAGCAGUAGAUAACACAGCAACAACAGUAGUAACAGAGCAGUAGUACCAAACAACUCAGACUUAAAAUCAGCAGUAAAACUCCAACAGCAAAAGAGUAAUGAAAAUAACCAACACCAGUACCAGAUUGACCAAAGUAUAACCCCAGCAGACCCAACAGAAUCAAAGUAACAAACACUCAGAUCCAAACAAUAACAACACCAGUUCCCAAACCAGCAAUUCACUCAAGCAGAUGAACCUAAGGUUUGGAAAUGUUUGCCUCUAAACUCUCAACACUCUCACAGACUGAUUAAAGAACCAAAUGCAGAAAACUAAGAGGACUGGUUGUUUUUUUAAAGAUUCCUAAUAUUCUUUAUGUUUUUUACCUCUGAAAAUGAUCUUCAAAAACCAACUAAUUUCUAUCAAUCUGAACUUUAAUCUUCAAAAUUCAGUCCCCCUCUAGUCCUAAACGACCCCUAUUUUAUACCAAAGGCCGUCCCUUUUUUCAGCUCCUUUUUCUUUACUUUUACUAUUACCCUUUUAUUAUUACCCUCUACUUCUUUCUUGCUUUCUAGCUACUAUAUUCCUCUACUAUGUGUAUCUUUUAGCUUUUCAUUAUUAAUCUACUAUUUCUAAUAUUCAAUUAGUAAAAGGUGCCUAAAAGUUGUCCCCUCCACAACUGAUCCCCCUUUUUAAUUAAAUUAUUCAGUAGUUCAGUGGCCCUCUGAACAUUCAAGCUGGCAGACCAUUCAAACUGACCAUUUUCUUCAAGUUUUUGACAUCCCAAACUGCCCUCCUAAAGUUACUGAAACUACUGACCCAUAAGCUACAACUAAUCCUCCUAAUCAGCUAUAACCAGCUCCUAAUCAAGUUCGAACAAUAAUUCAAAGUCGGAGCUCUGAUUCAAUCUGAAAUGGCACCUAACAUAAAGACUAAAGGUUCAGGGCAUCACAUACUGAGCUAUCUAUAUUGGUGAGCCAAUCAUAUUCAACUCAGAGACAAGUAAAUUGAAACCAACUACAUUAAACAUACACCUCAUUGAAUUGGAAAACCAAAAAAGAAACAACCAGAAGAAGUUUUAUAGGGGAAUGACAGGAAAAUGAUAACAAAUGAUCAAUCAAUUCAUUUUGAAGACGAACUAAAUAUACAAAAAGGCUUAUUUCAAAGUUCACACGCCAGCAGGCUUAUUGCGAUAUGAAAAUUGGAACAAAAACGAGAAGGGGAUGAAGCAUACUGGAAGGAACAACUAAACUACAAUCAUGUUUAAACUAACACUUAAACCACGGGCUAAUCGAUGAAGCUUGUUCAAUCAUUUAAACAAUUUAUACAUGUAAUCCAUAAUAAUAGAAACAAUGACAAAAUUGGACCAAAUAAAAGGUCUGAUGAAGAAGGAAAGAAAAUCGGCAAUAGAAAAAUUCCAACUCAUCUUUAAACAGACAAACAACAAUAAAAAUGGAAAAAUGAGGAGAAAAAAUAGAAGAAAUACCUUAGAAAUUAGAAACCAAAUGGACUCCGCCUAAAACUUUUGACUCGAACCUUUUGGGGUCAAAUGGACCUUAAUAUAGUGUUCUCUACACAGAACACUUCGACUAAGGUUGAUUAAACACCCAAGUUUCCCCCGUUUUUGGACAAAUUCCAGCUUGGUCAUAUUUUAGGGUUUUUGGUUCAUUUUGGGAUUCGAACGAGUCCAACGUGAUUCGAAGGGAACCAGUGUUGAUUCAGGGAUGAGGGAGGUCUAGUGGUUGUGUGGUGUUAAUUAGGGGUGGAUUGGGCGGGUUCAUGGUCUGCUCGAAUCUUCGAUUGAAGAUUCGAGAAGAUGUGGGGUGAUUCGAGGCAAACAAUUCAUGGAUUCGUGUUGUGGAUGGGGAGAUGGCUUGGGAGUGUCAAUUUGGUCGUCGGAGGCGUCGUUACUGCCGGGUUUCUGAUGGAAUCACUGGGUGGUGGCUAGGGUUUGUAAGGUGGAGUUCGUCUCUGAGAGAGACGAAGAUAUGGGUGUUUUGUUUUGGG